Molecule: long non-coding RNA, 320 nt
Organism: Tigriopus californicus
Lineage: Eukaryota; Metazoa; Arthropoda; Copepoda; Harpacticoida; Harpacticidae
Exons: 3
Source: RefSeq, a predicted model, not a curated record
GCAAACUUUGAAGCAGCCAAUCCUGCUUAAGAACAUGAAAUCAAAAACAAAUGACAGGACAACGGGUUUCUCUUAUCCACCCUCCAGCCGAAAGGAGCAGGAGCAAAUAAGGAACAAGAAAAAAUAUCUUUGUAGUUUAUGUGGAAGUACCCUGACGGUAAGACAGCCUAUAACCGUCACCAGUUGAUCCAUACUGGCAAACGCCCAUUUUCAUGUGAUAUUUGUGGCAAGUCUUUCACCCAGAACAUGAGGCUGACAGUACAUUCACGUUCUCAUACAGGCGAGCGACCUUUUCUUUGCUCUCUCUGUGGAAAGCCUUU